UGACAGGUGGUGCAUGGUUGUCGUCAGCUCGUGUCGUGAGAUGUUGGUUAAGUCACGCAACGAGCGCAACCCUCGACCUUAGUUGCCAGCAUUCAGUUGGGCACUCUAAGGUGACUGCCGGCUAAAAGUCGAAGGAAGGUGGGAUGACGUCAAAUCAUCAUGCCCCUUAUGACCUGGGCUACACACGUGCUACAAUGGGCGGUACAAAGGGUCGCGAACCCGCGAGGGGGAGCCAAUCCCAAAAAGCCGCUCUCAGUUCGGAUUGCAGGCUGCAACUCGCCUGCAUGAAGCCGGAAUCGCUAGUAAUCGCGGAUCAGCAUGCCGCGGUGAAUACGUUCCCGGGCCUU
RNAcentral lists this ribosomal RNA (347 nucleotides) under uncultured Anoxybacillus sp. RNAcentral describes it as "bacterial SSU rRNA". It matches the Rfam family "Bacterial small subunit ribosomal RNA", at positions 1032 to 1382 of the family's 1533-position model. Lineage: Bacteria; Bacillati; Bacillota; Bacilli; Caryophanales; Anoxybacillaceae. The record is from RNAcentral.